This 1516-nucleotide ribosomal RNA is filed under the name metagenome. RNAcentral's name for it is "bacterial SSU rRNA". It matches the Rfam family "Bacterial small subunit ribosomal RNA". The record is from RNAcentral.
AGAGUUUGAUCCUGGCUCAGAUCGAACGCUGGCGGCGUGGCUAAAACAUGCAAGUCGAACGCGAAAGCUCCCUUCGGGGAGCCGGUAGAGUGGCGGAAGGGCGAGGAAUACGUGGGCAACGUACCCUAUGCUUGGGGAUAGCCGCGGGAAACCGCGGGUAAUACCCAAUGAGACCACGGCACCACAAGGUGCAGCGGUCAAAGACGGGGAUCCCUUCGGGGACCUGUUGGCGUGGGAGCGGCCCAUGUCCUAUCAGCUUGUUGGCGAGGUAACGGCUCACCAAGGCUACGACGGGUACCGGGACUGAGAGGUUGGCCCGGCGCAUUGGGACUGAGACACUGCCCAGACUCCUACGGGAGGCUGCAGUAACGAAUAUUCCGCAAUGGGCGAAAGCCUGACGGAGCGACGCCGCGUGUGGGAAUAAGCCCCUCGGGGUGUAAACCACUGUCAGGGACCACCAAGCAAAGUGGGUUAAUACCCCAUGGCGCUGAGGAAUCCCAGAGGAAGCCACGGCUAACUUCGUGCCAGCAGCCGCGGUAAGACGAAGGUGGCAAGCGUUGUUCGGAAUCAUUGGGCUUAAAGCGCAUGUAGGCGGCUCAUCAAGCGUCUUGUGAAAUCCCUCGGCUCAACCGAGGAAUGGCUGGGCGAACUGAUCGGGCUUGAGGCAGGUAGGGGCGCGUGGAACUCUUGGUGGAGCGGUGGAAUGCGUAGAUAUCAAGAGGAACGCCGGUGGCGAAGGCGACGCGCUGGGCCUGUCCUGACGCUGAGAUGCGAAAGCCAGGGGAGCAAACGGGAUUAGAUACCCCGGUAGUCCUGGCCCUAAACGAUGUCCACUAGGUCGGAGGUUCUCUGACGGGUUUCCGGCCGAAACAAAAGCGUUAAGUGGACCGCCUGGGGAGUACGGUCGCAAGGCUAAAACUCAAAGGAAUUGACGGGGGCUCACACAAGCGGUGGAGCAUGUUGCUUAAUUCGAUACAACGCGAAGAACCUUAUCCUGGGCUUGACAUGUUUGGAUGCCUCCCUGGAAACAGGGUUGGCUGCCCUUCGGGGUGAAACUUGCACAGGUGCUGCAUGGCUGUCGUCAGCUCGUGUCGUGAGAUGUUGGGUUAAGUCCCGUAACGAGCGAAACCCUUGUCGCUAGUUGCCAGCGCGUGAUGGCGGGGACUCUAGCGAGACUGCCGGUGUUAAACCGGAGGAAGGUGGGGAUGACGUCAAGUCCUCAUGGCCUUUAUGCCCAGGGCCGCAAACGUGCUACAAUGGCUGGUACAAACCGAUGCAAGACCGCGAGGUGGAGCAAAUCGGAAAAAGCCCGCCCCAGUUCGGAUUGCAGUCUGAAACUCGACUGCAUGAAGGUGGAAUCGCUAGUAAUCGCAGAUCAGCUAUGCUGCGGUGAAUGUGUUCCUGAGCCUUGUACACACCGCCCGUCAAGUCAUGGAAGCCGGUAGUGCCCGAAGUCGCCAUGAUUCAGUGGUGCCGAAGGUGAGAUCGGUGACUGGGACUAAGUCGAAACAAGGUA